AGUCUCCUCGCACACACACUCCCAUCAGUAAGAUUCUAUCUCACCUUGUCCUCAGAUGUCAGGUAAAAUGCGAGGUGAGCGGCGCUGCCAAUCAGACCCGUAAACAGACACACGUCUCAAAAGAUGUUUUUAGACUUGCGUACGAGUGGCAGGCUUCGUACAAACAGUUCCCCCCUCCCGCCUGUGCGCCGUAUCGACUUCCCAAACGAAAGGGCGUUGCGUUUACUGCACAUCAAACGGAGCGGAAAAUGAGGUUGCGGCGCAGACGUUCAAACCUUGGCGCUCACUUCGAGGGGCUGAAAUUCAGAGCGAUCGCUAUCUGCGCUGCAGGAGACGCCGCCGCUGCUCGCUAUCAGCACUCCCCAUCGAGCAAACAUCCUCUGGAGAUUAGGAGGCGCUCGACGUCGCCGCCGGCGGAGUGCAAUGAAAGCCAUGAACGCAGCACGAGAAAACCAAGCGCCGCUGAUGAGGACAGACGGCAUAAAGACCAGCGAACUCGAAGAUCCAGUGCCGGAACAUAGUUCACUCCACGUAUAUUCCGUCCGUCUCCAUUGAUCGAGCUGUGCGCCUCGCUUCUCUGGACUUCCCGCCGGACUUUGGACUGCUUCCCUCAAUCCUCGACCCCCGCUCGGACACGGACCUCGACGCCUCUCUCUAGUCCCCGACCCCUCGCUUGCCCACGGACUGUCUUCUUGCCUUGCCCCUCUGGACUUAUGAACGAUUCAUCCAACACGCACAAACAACACCCUCUGGUAACAUUUACAGUGGUAAUUCUUCACAUCGUCUUGCACCAUACACUAUUAGUAGCAUACACAC
This is a long non-coding RNA of Nerophis lumbriciformis (worm pipefish), 816 nucleotides long. RefSeq lists it as uncharacterized. Lineage: Eukaryota; Metazoa; Chordata; Actinopteri; Syngnathiformes; Syngnathidae. The record is from RefSeq and is a predicted model, not a curated record.